CUCUAUCCACUGAGCCAAACCAGCUGGGGCUGUAGCUUUUUAAAAAAUGUUUUCUAAAAGGACUGUUUCAGCAUUUUUAAAAACAGAACAUUUAAGUAUCUUUCUUGAAGCAGGCUCAGCCAUCUUAGUGUUUUCUACAUGAAGCAGUGAGUGUGAGACUGAACCUAGAAUCUGGCGUGUGAGUCGGGAGGCACGGUGGUGGCCUGGACCUGGCGGAGCGCGCUGUGGGGACGCCAGGCCACCGCUCCGGGUGGCAGUUCUCACGGGCCAUGAAGAGAGGCCAGUGCGGAGAGCCCGGGAGGCUCCACACAGCGCACACGGAGCUUUUCCGACGGGGUGUGUCAUGGGCACGCGUGUCCAUGGGGCUGGCUGUCCCUGAGCGGCUGGGCAUGGUCCCUCCUGUUUCUUUAUUAAAUUGUUUCCCACGGACGUAGCUUGAACAUCGGUCAUGGGAGGCGCUGGUCCCUCGGGAGGGCGUCCCCUGGGGAUGUGCAGAUGGCAGGUGGACGCCUCUGAGACGUGUGGUGCACGUGCUGAUUGGAAGUGUCGUGUGCGGACGGCAUGGUGUGCGGUGCUGGGAGCGGGCAGUGGGGUUUCUCCCCAAGGCCGUCCCGUUCUGUAACGGGGAUUCAGGGCCCUGUGGCUGUUGGGGUUCCAUCCCAACCAUCCUGGAGCGUGUUCCGCGUCUCAGGAGCUGCCAUGUUUUCUGGGGUUCCUGGAAGCAACAGGCGUGUUAACAGACAUUUCAAGAUCAUGUAAUAAAUGCUAAGACAGAGCGAUGGGUUGUGGGGGGCCGGCUGGGGUGCUGGUGUGGGAGGGAGGCCGAGGCCCAGGGGAGGCGGCCUGGAGCGGGCAAUGGGACUGGGGGUGGGAGCGGGUCCGCGUCAGCCCCGGGACCACGGGCGUUCGUCCCUCCGAGCCAGGCCGCUGCCGUCCACCCUCUCACCCGCCACCUUCGUCUCUUCUCUUUCACGUUUACCAACUCCCACGCUCGUUCCGGCCGGUUCUUCUGCUGUUGUUCGGUUUCCUUUCAUUUCAUUUAUUUUGCUGUAUCUUUUGUCUCUGAUUUGAGGUCUUGGCUUUCAUGGUGCCCAAGCUGGCCCAUUAGCCCAGUGACCAGUGGGUGGGCGUUGGGCAGAAGGGCCAGGUGGACACCCAGCACGUGGCGGUGUGGUUUGGGUCCCAGCUCACACAGUCCACUUCCCAGACGCAGAGGAACGCACGGCUGAUUACACCAACAGGACUGUUAAGGCCCCCGCUGCCUGCCUUUGUGUCCGGACGCGUCGUGUUUUCUCCCCUCCCGUCCUUGGGGGGCGUUUGGAAACGGUUUGGCAGAGGAAGUGUGCUUUGUUUUGAAGUUGCCGGUUCCCGCCCGCGUUCCCAGGGCGCCUGUGUUCCCAGCGUGUGAAUUGCAGGAUGUGUCCGGGGUCCUCCCUCCCGCAGACCCCCGAGCGCGCGGGCUGUUCUGGGAAAUUUCAUCCAGGGCCUCUGAAAUCCCAGCUGAACGCUGUCACCGGCUGAACAGGAAACAGAUCAAUAAAAAGAUGUUAAAAAAAGAAAAGAAAAAUGAAGAACCACGAAGGACUGCAGUGGCCACAUCCACCCGCCUGACCUGCUUUGAGUCCCGUGGGAUUUGGCCUCGAUAGCGUCAGAAAGGCCCAUCGUAGACUCGGGAGAGCCGUCCCCGCGGCUCAGGAACCCGGACCCUCUUCUCGGGCCCGAUGCGCAGGCCCUGGGCCGUGCAGUCCCGCUGAGGCCGCAGCUCCUUAGCCCAGACCCGGCCCCUGUCUGGUCCGUCCACACAUCACCUGCCUCUUUGAAAAGAUUAAACACUUCUGUAUUUUGUUUGUCCAGAGA
Long non-coding RNA from Myotis lucifugus (little brown bat), 1857 nucleotides. RefSeq lists it as uncharacterized. NCBI's taxonomy places the organism in Eukaryota, Metazoa, Chordata, Mammalia, Chiroptera, Vespertilionidae. The transcript has 2 exons. The record is from RefSeq and is a predicted model, not a curated record.